UGAGAGAAGAGAAGGAGGGUCAUAUAUCCUCAAGAUUUAUAGAGAGACUUGUUGUUCUGUCAGAGAAAGAUGUGCUGGCUGCCGAUAGACCAGCCUUUGCUCCUGCCUGGUGACUACACCUGCACUGCCCACCGACUCUCGCCGUGCUCGGUGGCUCAGCUGCUCGCGUCUCGCCUUCGGAGGAUCGGGGACACGCUUGAGAAAAGCUGGACGCCCGGGGAGACGGACAGCGGCUUCAGCUGCGGGGGCAGGGAGACGGUGGCGGUGACCAGGAGAGACCACUUAAAGAGCUUCCUGUGCACUGCAAUACACUUGACCGUGCUCGUGCUGGUCGUCGCGAAGCGACAGCUGUAGGGCGCGAGGCGGCAACACCAGCAACAGAUGGUGCCUUUAGGACCAUGCACGAUGAACGGGCUCAAAUCAUUUGCCCUAAAAGCAAGGGAUGCAGGAGAGUCGGAGGAUGCGGUCCAGGAUUGAAGGUGUGCUGCGAGUAAAAGACCGACGGAAGAGAAUGAAGCGGAUUUAAAUGCGUGUUUCAAGGUCGGAACUUUGAGUCUGACUAAACUCAAUGUGUCACGAAGACUUCCUCAGGUCCGAUGCGGAUGCACUGCGAGUUUCAUAACGAGCUGACACAGAGAACCCCCAGCAGCCCUGCAGUCAGCCCGUUGCACGUCCUACCCCGGUGUGACUCUCCGAUUCUGUCAUCACAGUUACAAAACGAUGAUGUAAUCCUCCCCUGGUAGAGAGCAGGGAAAAUCUUACUAAUAAGACUCCUUUGAAUGUUCACUACCCACGACGUGAGUGCAUAAGGACAAAGGGGUUAGAGUGAUUACACCUUUAAAUGUAUGUAAAGCUACCAUUAGUGCAGCAAUAAUGAAAAAUGCACUGCAUUUUAUAAGCUUCAUGAUGCACUGUACCAUUUUUUUUUUACUUAAGCUAUACUUUGAUUGUAAACAUGUAAAUACUGAGAGGAUGAAUGUUUUUACAGAUGUUUUUUACAGUGUUUAGAUGAUGUUUACGCAUUAUACUGUGCUUUAGCAUUAUCUGUUGGCAGUGUUUAGUGGCUUUUCGUCAUAAACAAGAUACAGGACCUGUGCAUAGGAAGCUAUGCAGUUAAUGUUGUCGGUGAUUUCUGGAAAGAAGCUUCCUCUGAUACAUUAAGUGUAAUGUGAGCAGAAUUACUGAAACUGUCUUUUUUAAAGUGUGUGCUAUUUAUACUAAUUCAAUAUUUCAUAUGGAUUUUUGGUAGUUAAAUAAUAAACACCUUUCUGGAAUAAAUGUUAUGCAGGUGUGCUUACAAUUACACAAGUAAUACGCUUGACAAAGUAAGCUAAAGUGCUUUAAUUUAAAACUGAAUACCCUGCAGUGCAUUCUGCAUUUAAGUCACACGUUCCAUUAUGCAACCCGGGAUGGAUUAUUAUAAAAGGAAACGAUUCAUAUUAACAAUAUUCAUAGAGAACAAUGAAAAUAAGUUUGCAACAUGGUAGAUUAUCAGACAUGAGCUCUUGCUGUUAAUGUAAAUGUAUGGAAAGUCAAAUCCUCAAUAUCUUCACCACACUUGAUACAAAUCUAUAAAAUGUUAUGAUUGUGAUGCCUUGCUUGUACCAUAAACAAUUGCCACGAUGUAAAGUCUGGGUCACAGUCACACACCACCUUACGUUCACUACUCAAUAUCUAAAUAACCUUAUUGUUUCCUAACCAAGAACCGGUUUUUACCUA
Molecule: long non-coding RNA, 1719 nt
Organism: Cottoperca gobio
Lineage: Eukaryota; Metazoa; Chordata; Actinopteri; Perciformes; Bovichtidae
Exons: 2
Source: RefSeq, a predicted model, not a curated record